Molecule: ribosomal RNA, 336 nt
Filed under: uncultured Lactobacillus sp.
Lineage: Bacteria; Bacillati; Bacillota; Bacilli; Lactobacillales; Lactobacillaceae
Description: bacterial SSU rRNA
Rfam family: Bacterial small subunit ribosomal RNA
Source: RNAcentral
GGACGGCGUAAAGCUGUCGCUAAAGGAUGGACCUGCGAUGCAUUAGCUAGUUGGUAAGGUAACGGCUUUACCAAGGCGAUGAUGCAUAGCCCGAGUUGAGAGACUGAUCGGCCACAUUGGGACUGAGACACGGCCCAAACUCCUACGGGAGGCAGCAGUAGGGAAUCUUCCACAAUGGACGAAAGUCUGAUGGAGCAACGCCGCGUGAGUGAAGAAGGGUUUCGGCUCGUAAAGCUCUGUUGUUGGUGAAGAAGGACAGGGGGUAGUAACUGACCUUUGUUUGACGGUAAUCAAUUAGAAAGUCACGGCUAACUACGUGCCAGCAGCCGCGGUAAU